Molecule: ribosomal RNA, 197 nt
Filed under: uncultured marine bacterium OT5
Lineage: Bacteria
Description: partial 16S rRNA
Rfam family: Bacterial small subunit ribosomal RNA
Source: RNAcentral
CCUACGGGAGGCAGCAGUGGGGAAUCUUGGACAAUGGGGGCAACCCUGAUCCAGCAAUGCCGCGUGGGUGAAGAAGGCCUUUGGGUUGUAAAGCCCUUUCGGCAGGGAAGAAGGCGUUGGAGCUGAACAGGUUUUGACGUUUGACGGUACCUGCAGAAGAAGCACCGGCUAACUACGUGCCAGCAGCCGCGGUAAUA